This 433-nucleotide ribosomal RNA is filed under the name uncultured bacterium. RNAcentral's name for it is "bacterial SSU rRNA". It matches the Rfam family "Bacterial small subunit ribosomal RNA", at positions 355 to 786 of the family's 1533-position model. The record is from RNAcentral.
UGAGGAAUACUGGUCAAUGGGCGAGAGCCUGAACCAGCCAAGUCGCGUGAGGGAAGACGGUCCUACGGAUUGUAAACCUCUUUGUCGGGGAGCAAUAAAGCGUACGCGUACGCAGAUGCGAGUACCCGAAGAAAAAGCAUCGGCUAACUCCGUGCCAGCAGCCGCGGUAAUACGGAGGAUGCGAGCGUUAUCCGGAUUUAUUGGGUUUAAAGGGUGCGCAGGCGGAAAGUGCAAGUCAGCGGUCAAACGACGGGGCUCAACCCCGUCUCGCCGUUGAAACUGUCUUUCUAGAGUGAGCGAGAAGUAUGCGGAAUGCGUGGUGUAGCGGUGAAAUGCAUAGAUAUCACGCAGAACUCCGAUUGCGAAGGCAGCAUACCGGCGCUCAACUGACGCUCAUGCACGAAAGCGUGGGUAUCGAACAGGAUUAGAUACC